Molecule: non-coding RNA, 923 nt
Organism: Pimephales promelas (fathead minnow)
Lineage: Eukaryota; Metazoa; Chordata; Actinopteri; Cypriniformes; Leuciscidae
Source: RefSeq, a predicted model, not a curated record
ACCAGGUUGAAAUUAUCUUUACUUUUACGUUGAAAUGUCACCAAAUCCUGAUUUACAUUGUCUUCUAUGUGUUUAAUAUAUGUUUUAUUGUCAAUAUUCAUGCCAGUAUGUUGUAUUCAGGCCAUGGUGUUAAUACCUGUACUUUCACUUUAAGAGGUCGCAGGUUUUGUGACGUAAUUUAUGCGCUUCUCUCAGUUCGCGCCAGGCUGUCUGAGAGAAGGAGCUUGAGAACUGUAUGCUGUGUGGGAAAGACUGCAUGUGACGACAGCCUUAUGUGUUUUUUUGUUGAUUUGUACAGAACUAUCUAUGGAUCUCGCAGAGGAGACUAUUUUGCUGAAAGAAGUUAAGGAGGCAGUAUCAGAUAACAUUGUCCAGAUGUAUGCUGAGAUAGAGAGACACCUGUGGUGGAGAGAAAGCUGUGGACAUCUUGUGCGGCCCUCACACACAGAACAUAUGAGCAUCCAGGGACUUGCGGCAGCAGUUGUUAAAAUAGAUCUAAAAACAGUACCUGCACCGCAGCAGUUCAGGUGGAUGCAGACAUGACAAGCCUAGAAUAAGAUGUUUAGCAUGUGUAUCCACUCGCAAUGAAAUCACCAUUUGUUUAAGGUCAGUCACCUUCCACCGGCACUUUAUUGUGAUUGCGAGGGUUGCUCCAGAUGUGGUGCAGUGGUGAACUUCUCCUUCAUCUCGCUUUCUCCGCCUAUGCAACAGUUAUGAUGGCUAAUGAUUCAUCAUAUGACUCCAGCUUGCUUCCUAAUCUAGUCAAAUAAACCCAGCAUUUACAUUAUAAAUAUUGUUGACACUUCAACAAAUCACUUUUGUUCCUCUUCGUAAGUCGCUAUGCAUAAAAGUGACGAGUAUAUGUAUGAAUGUAAUGUGAAUGUAAAUUCUGAACUGAUCCUAAAUCCAACUGAUGACCUUAA